CAGUCGCCGCGGUAAAACGGAGGGUGCAAGCGUUAAUCGGAAUUACUGGGCGUAAAGCGCACGCAGGCGGUCUGACAAGUCAGAUGUGAAAUCCCCGGGCUUAACCUGGGAACUGCAUUUGAAACUGUCAGGCUGGAGUCUUGUAGAGGGGGGUAGAAUUCCAGGUGUAGCGGUGAAAUGCGUAGAGAUCUGGAGGAAUACCGGUGGCGAAGGCGGCCCCCUGGACAAAGACUGACGCUCAGGUGCGAAAGCGUGGGGAGCAAACAGGAUUAGAUACCCCAGUAGUCCCUGUCUCUUAUAC
This 301-nucleotide ribosomal RNA is filed under the name uncultured bacterium. Its description in RNAcentral is "partial 16S ribosomal RNA". It matches the Rfam family "Bacterial small subunit ribosomal RNA", at positions 509 to 807 of the family's 1533-position model. The record is from RNAcentral.